GAUGAACGCUGGCGGCAUGCCUAACACAUGCAAGUCGAUCGGUAAGGCUCUUCGGAGUACACGAGAGGCGGACGGCUGAGUAACGCGUAGGAACACACCCUGCAGUGAGGGAUAAGACACCGAAAGGUGUUCUAAUACCGCAUACGGUCUUCGGAUUAAAGCAUUUAUGCGCUGAAGGAGUGGCCUGCGUCAUAUUAGAUAGUUGGUGAGGUAAUGGCUCACCAAGUCGAUGAUGUGUAGCUGGUCUGAGAGGAUGAUCAGCCAGACUGGAACUGAGACACGGUCCAGACUCCUACGGGAGGCAGCAGGGAGGAAUAUUUCACAAUGAGCGAAAGCUUGAGGGAGCAAUGCCGCGGGAAGGAUGAAGGCCCUCGGGUUGUAAACUGCUUUUAUAAGAGAAGAUAAUGACGGUAACUUAGGAAGAAGGGACGGCUAACUACGU
RNAcentral lists this ribosomal RNA (442 nucleotides) under uncultured bacterium. RNAcentral describes it as "partial 16S ribosomal RNA". It matches the Rfam family "Bacterial small subunit ribosomal RNA", at positions 28 to 506 of the family's 1533-position model. The record is from RNAcentral.